UCCGUAGGCGGGUAAUUAAGUCAGAGGUGAAAUCCCACAGCUCAACUGUGGAACUGCCUUAGAUACUGGUUAUCUUGAGUUUUAGUGAAGUAGAUAGAAUGUGUAGUGUAGCGGUGAAAUGCAUAGAUAUUACACAGAAUACCGAUUGCGAAGGCAGUCUACUAACUAACAACUGACGCUAAUGGACGAAAGCGUGGGGAGCGAACAGGAUUAGAUACCCUGGUAGUCC
This 229-nucleotide ribosomal RNA is filed under the name uncultured bacterium. RNAcentral's name for it is "partial 16S ribosomal RNA". It matches the Rfam family "Bacterial small subunit ribosomal RNA", at positions 568 to 796 of the family's 1533-position model. The record is from RNAcentral.